RNAcentral lists this ribosomal RNA (274 nucleotides) under uncultured bacterium. Its description in RNAcentral is "partial 16S ribosomal RNA". It matches the Rfam family "Bacterial small subunit ribosomal RNA", at positions 523 to 796 of the family's 1533-position model. The record is from RNAcentral.
ACACGUAAGGGGCAAGCGUUGUUCGGAAUCACUGGGCGUAAAGGACGCGUAGGCGGGAAGCCAAGUCUGAUGUGAAAUCCUAUGGCUUAACCAUAGAACUGCAUUGGAAACUGGUUACCUAGAGUAUGGGAGGGGGAGAUGGAAUUAGUGGUGUAGGGGUAAAAUCCGUAGAUAUCACUAGGAAUACCGAAAGCGAAGGCGAUCUCCUUGAACAAUACUGACGCUAAGGCGUGAAAGCGUGGGGAGCAAACGGGAUUAGAUACCCUUGUAGUCC